This is a long non-coding RNA of Pan troglodytes (chimpanzee), 11356 nucleotides long. RefSeq lists it as uncharacterized. The transcript is spliced from 2 exons. The record is from RefSeq and is a predicted model, not a curated record. Lineage: Eukaryota; Metazoa; Chordata; Mammalia; Primates; Hominidae.
UUAUGGUCGGUCAGCGAUGGCUGUCCACACAUAGGCACGCCUCUGGACCCACUGAAUCAGACACCCUGGGACCCGGCUCUGCGAUCUCCGUCUUCCAAGCCCUGCAGGUGAUGCUGGACCACACUUCAGUUGAGAAUGAAGGGAUGGAAAUUAUUUUAAAUUGAAAACUCCUGAACAGUCAGCAGCCGCAGAAAGAAACUACCUCCACUUAAGCAGCUGCCCCAGGAAGCAGAGCUGCUUUGACCCCUCUGGGGGCAUUUCCUGCUUGGAGGAAGACUGAACCCCCCUACACCGAGCAGUGCAGUACAGGCCGGGCAUGGUGGCUCACGCCUGUCAUCCCAGAGCUUGGGGAGGCUGACGAUCAUCUGAGGUCACUAGUUCGAGACCAGCCUGGCCAACAUGGUGAAACUCCAUCUUUACUAAAAAUACAAAAAUUAGCCGGGUGUGGUGGUGCACUCCUGUAAUCCCAGCUACUCAGGAGACUGAGGCAGGAGAAUCUCUUGAACCUGGGAGGCAGAAGUUGCAGUGAGCCGAGAUCACACCACUGCCCGUCAGCCUGGGCAACAGAGAGAGACUCCAUCUCAAAAAAAAAAUAAAACAAAACAAAACCAGUUCGGAUCAGCUGCCCAUUAGCGUCAAGACCGAAAGGACCUUCCACACUCCCCGUGAAGCCCUGAGCCCCUGUUUUUAUUGUGUUUGCUGGUAUAUAAACCCUUUCCUCAUUACUGUGUCCUCACGUGUGUGUUCAUGAGCACAGCCGAUGGACCUGCUCUCCCUCCUGUCCACCUGUCUGCUGUCCGUUCACUUGCAGACCCCAGAUAUUUCAAGCUAUGACAGUAGAGAAAAAAGUCUCCCCAACAAUAGAGAAAAAAGUUUCCCCAACAAGAACUGCUGCUGUCAGCCUGCUCCCCUGCACUAUGGUUCCCACCAGCACUCCUGUUACAAGUGACAGAUGAAAACUCACGCGGAAGACGACCUCAGAGCCAACAUUCCUGGAAGGAGGCUGCCCUGGGGGCCGUGCUGGGGGCUUCACGUGGAAUAUCUCAUCUUCCCCACACAAUGCCUUUGCAAGAUGGAAAACACUCGUCCACCCCAGCUGACCGAUGGGGACAGGUUUGGAGAAAGCAGAGCCAAGGCAAGCACUGAUGGAAACACGCGGGGAAGAGGGCAAGUGAGCUCGGCGCCGGUGGCGGGGGCACGCAGGGAAGAAGGCGAGUGAGCUCGGUGCUGGGGGGCACGCAGGGCAAACACCGGGCUAAUCGGGUGAGGGGGGCGCAGCAGACACGCUGCUGUGGGUAGGAUUUUCUUUUGGUCUCAGAUCUGAUUUUGUGAAAUGGGAACAUGAGCAGCACCUCAAGUUUCUGUGCUAAGUGAAGCAAUUCCUGCAGUGCCUGGCAUGUUGGGGGGCUCCACACCUCAGAGUCCUCCUGCUGGCCCUGAGGUCAUUUCUCUCCCCUGCUCAGGGGAGCCCGGAGGACCUUCAGUCCAGACCUGACCUGCCCCUCACCUGCUGAGUAAGUUCAGGACUUGUCCCCUGAUGAGCACAUGGGACAAUCAUCCAAGUAGAAUGAAACCAGCUGGGAGAAGCCACCACACAUCCCCUUCAGAAACAGCAACUCUCCCACGCCUGACUGACUUCCUGGUGCCUGGAACUCCUCUGAGUGGAGCAACUCUAUUGACUGAGAUUAUCUCCAUAAAGUCCAGGUGAAGGUGAAAAUAACAAUCUCACCAUUUACUGAUUGUCAAUUUCCUAUCCAAUAAGAAAAGAAUAAGACUUCAGGGAGGCAGGGCAGGCAACAGGCAUGUCUGAGUCCAUUUCUCAGCUGAAAUCUACAAGAAACUGAGGACCUCAAUCCCCCAACCCUGGAGCAAUGCAGUCCUGCCGGUAUGCUUGUAGGGGUGCUCAGAAGCAGACCCUUCCCCACCUGAGCCUUCAGAUGAGUCCUCAUCCCUGGCCAGUACCUGAGUGUGGACUUGUGAGUGAGCCAAGCCAGCCACGCCACACAAAGAUUCCUGACCCACAAAAACUGUGAGAUGAUAAAUGUGCAUUGAUUCAAGCUGCUAAGUUUGGGGGCAACUUGUUACACAGCAGGAGAUAACUACUACACCACCACCAUGAUCUGUUUUUUGGCCUUUGAACGUAUCUCAUUUAUUCUUUUUUUAAAUUCUGUUUUCCUCUCCAAGAUUGCCACCCAGUGUCUGUCCAAUUCCUCACCCACAAGUCAGUUUCCACUUUCCCUCUGAGCCCUUCUGAUUUUUUCCACUCAUGAUGGUUUUUCUCUUCCACAAGACACAGAAUUUAUUGUCUCAGCUGUGCCAUUCCAAGAUCAGGGUUUCUUUAAGCAUUCCCCCCGGCCUUGGAAUAGCACAGCUCAAAACAAGGUACAAAUGGGAUUUACUUUUUUUUUUUCUGUGCUCUUUAUGACUGUAUUACAUCCCCUUUCACUCUUUUUUCUUUCAUUUUUGAAAAUAUAAUAAUGUUAUCAACUAAAGUCACCAUGUUGUAAAAUAAUAUCUUGAAUUUAUUUCUCUUGUCCAACUGAAAUUUUGUAUCCUUUGAUCAACAUUUCCCCAACCUCCAACUCCCCCAUUGCCCAGCCCUUAGUAACCACUAUUCUUCUCUCUGCUUCAGUGAGUUCAGCUUUUGAAAAUUUUCCACAGAUGAGUGAGGUCAUGUGGUAUUUGUCUUUCUGUGCCUGGCUUAUUUCAGUUAAUAUAAUGUCUUCCAGGUUCAUCCAUGUUGUUGCAAACGACAGGAUUUUCCUCUUUUUUAAAGCUGAAUAGUAUUCUGUUGUGCAUAUGUACCCCAUUGUCUUUAUUUGUUGAUGCCUUGUUGGACACUUAGGUUGAGUCCAUAUCUUGGCUAUUGUGGAGAAUGCUGUAGUAAACAUGAGACUGCAGAGAUGUCUUUUAAUAUACUGAUUUCAAAGCCUUUAGAUAUAAACCAAGAAGUGGAAUGAAUUGAUCCAGGUGGGACUGAAUACCAGACAGACAAGUCAUCAACACUAGUAGGAUUUACAUUUCUUUAGAAGCAAAGCUGGAGAAGAUUGGAGGUUAGGCACUGGAUCAGCACUGGUUGUCCAAAUAAAGUAAGCAUGAGAGUCGGGUGAAAGGAAGGAGUAGCCACUGGGAAGGGUCCAUGAGAGGGAAGCAAGUGUGAGUGAGUGCUAUAGACUGCUGGGGGUGGGGUGGGGGUGGUGCUGACACCUGUGAUGUGUGUGUGUGUGUGUGUGUGUGUGUGUGUAUGUGUAACUUUCCCUCUAAAUCUCUAAGUUACCCAACGGCUCCCCAAGAACCUGGUAACCUAGUGGAAUACAAUGCUUUGAAAUCCACUCAGUAAAUAUUCAUUGAACCAGUGUAUGAAACUAGAAUCCCUGUUCAUCCCUUUCUUUCUUUCUUUGCAAUCUUUAAAAGCAAAAAGACAUAUAUUAUUAACAGUUCAUUUAUAGAGUCAAUUCUAUUUCUAAAGAGAUAGAGCAUAUUUUAAAUGUGUUACUUUUUUAAUGUUUAUUUCUAUGCCUAUUUAGGCUUAGUUUAUAUUCAAUUUAACAGGGAAAAACAUAAUGAAUUCAAUAGCAAUGCAAAGGUAAUAUAAAUAGUCUAAUAACAAGAUAUGAUUUUCAUUUGGCCCAUAUUAAAACUGGAUUUAGAGGAACCAUGCAAAUUCACACUUAAUAACAAAUAUAUUUAUAUGCGUCUAUUAAUUUCCCAUUCGGAAACACAAAAGCUUUCUAGAUAAGGUAUUUUACUGUCUGAUAUAAGGCAUAGUUCUAAUUAUAUAAAGGUUUAGGAAAAUCAGGCCUAGUCAAGUUAUAUCUACAUAUUCAUAUGACUUUAACUAACUUAAUUGAGUAUAAUAGACUAGAAUUGUGUAAAAAUUAAUAUUUGGAGUUUUUGUGUUGUUACUGUAAUUUUAAAAAUGCCAGGCAACUGGUUUGACUAAAAGUUCUCACUGCUUUGGUUAUAGCCAAACUAUAGGGGGGAAAUGUUCAUUUUAACUGUUAGUUGUUACAGGCUAAUGGUUCAUCAUGUCCUUAAUAGAAAUCAGACCCAGAUGUUUUAGAUAAAAGCAUACCAUUUAUUCAGACUAUAUCCACAUUAGAAGAAGAGAAAUAGCAAUUUAGUAAUAGUCAGAAUUAUUUUACCAAUGCAGGCAAUCAGUUUGGAGCAUUUGCUACCACCAGAAUCCUUAGGAGAUCAAAUCAUCAUUUCUGCGAUCAAUGCAACGAUGUUUGAUCAUCUUUAACGUCUACUAUACUCUCUGCUUGCAAUUCUUUUCCAAAUUAAUUAAUUUAGCCAAAAAUCUCAGGAAAACAAUUUAGCCUGAAUGUAAUCCUCUGUUUCCCCAUAAUGAAAAAGAUAAAUAGUCUAAAACGGAAAAAAUAAACACACAGCAAAACACGUGCUCUUAUACGUGGAAAGUUAAGCUAAGAAUGUUUGGGGGAAAUUGGCCGACCUUAAGUCUUGAAUUUUCUGGGACCUUCCCUCUAUUCUUCUCACUUUCAGCUAGCAUCUUCCAUGCCGUGGUAUACAGCAUGAUAGGGUUUGAACUACACAUGUUGCUCCUCUUACUAUAAAUGCCUAAUCCUUAGCUGAAACUAUUUGUCACAAUAAUAUCCUGUAGUGAAGACUUUUACAAGAUAAUUACAUGGUGAGUAAACAAGGCAGUGUUGUCUUUUAUCUGUUCUAAAUGGGAUGUCUUCUAAUUUUAUCACCGGCCUUUUGUUCAUAUAUUAUUGGGCAGGGUAAAUAAGAAUCACUGAACAGCCUUUCUAAAUCAUUUGUUAUUAUCCAUGCUACUAUUUCUAUAAACUAAUGAGCAAUAUUUAGUGCUUACGAUCUUCCCACUUUAUAAACAUCAGCUUUCAUUGUUUCUGCAUUAGGUGGAGGAAAUAUUGAGCCCAGCUUUCCCUUUGAAUGCUUACAAGGUUGCUUGUAAAAUAUUCUUCUGAUGACACAGACUGGAGAGAACUGUGUCUUUAACCUAUUGCUUUUAACCCAGGGAUGCUCACUGCUAGCUGAGGGUGGCCCAAAAUGGAGGCCACAAAUGAACCUCUUCUCUACUCUUCUUUCCUUUUAUCCUCUCCUUUCCUUUCUCCUUUCCCUUCCCUCCCCUCCUCCCCUACCCUCUCCUUUUUCUUUCCUUUUCUUUCCUUUUUUUAAAUUUUUUAUUUUUCUUUCUUUCCUUCCUUCCUUCCUUCCUUCCUUCCUUCCUUCCUUCCUUCUUUCCUCCCUUCUAACAUUUGUGGACACAUUACCAUGAACACAGUGGACACUGUUGUUAAUUCCAUCUUAAAAAUGAGGAAAAUGAGGUUUUAAGAAGUUAGGCAACUCAUCUGAUGUUACACAUCUGAGAGGUAAGAAAGCUGUACUGAAACCAGGAUCACCUGACCCUGCGAUACAGCCUGUCACUCAUUCACUUCAUGUCUCUCAGAGAUCUCUUCACGUGCCAGUCUCACUGCUCGGAGGAGCACAGAAGUCUCACUGGAGAAUAUCUGGGUAGUACCAGAUAGGGAACCUGUCCUCAGAAAGCCACCUUUCUCGCCCAGAUACCCCUUCGGCUACUUGAUAGAUCACCUGUCACGCCCAUCACCUGUGCCGGUGGUCAGCGUCUCCCCACACUUGCAGCUGCUCUCAGUGACCAGGGCAAAGUCUGACUUUGAAAGCUCAUUUCAGGUGCUAUGCACGUGACAGUGUACCAGCAAUGUCUGCUUGUUCCUUCUCCCAUUCCUUCAGGGGUGGUCAACCAAUUCUGAGAAGGAAGCCCUGCCCCCAUUCCUCCAUCCCCACAUCCCCGUCGUCCUCGGCUCCCAGCUCUGCCCUUCCAUUUGUGGCAUGCCGGUGGGUCGAGCAUUGUCUGCCUUCUGGGGAACACAAACCCUUCUGAGUUGUUGGCAAGUUUCUGAUGGGGUCAGCUCUGGUUCUCAUGGGCCAUUAAAGUUGGAUUGUUGAGGGCUAGAAAGGAAGAUAAAAGUGCAUGUCCUGAGUGGAGGUAUGAAGGGUGAAUGGGGACCAGACCCUGAAUGGAUGUCCUGAGCAAGCGAGGGGUCUACCAGAUGGAAGCCCAGAGGUCCGAGCUGAUGUGGAGGACGAUGGACAGGGAGGGGCAGUGCCCACUGCUUGUGCAAUGGUAAGAAAAUGUACAGAGGGAAGGACAAACCCCAGGAGCUUUGCUCAAAUACCCAGCUGCCCUGGGACUCCCAGACACGCAGGCCCAGCCUACAGUCAGGCACCCAGCCAGGUAAAGCGCCCAUCCCUGGAAGGGGGUUUUUGCCCCAUUGCUACUGGAGUUCAUCAUUGGUGGUUUAUUAUGAUGGAGCUUGGACAAACUACAAAUGGGCACUGGGUGUAUCUAAUGCUGUAUGUGAAUACCAUUCAUUUUUUAAAAGUAUAUAAUUCAAAUAAACAUUCUUUAAUAAAAAUGAAAAAAAGAAAUACUGUUAAAAGCACCAAAAUUGUGUGUUAUACUAUUGCAUGUACAAUGAGAUAAAGGUGAUAGCCCUACCUGGUGUACAAAUACUUAACUCUAAAGUCCUGAGUGUAAAAAACAAGAAAUACAAAGCCAUACAAUAACUACAAUGCAGAAAAGUUGCACUAAAGAGCAAAAGGCAACAGUGAAGACGUUUGGAGAUUUUAUAGCAUUUCUGUAAGUACUGCAAAUCCCCACACUGGCUGCCAGGACCCCUGGCCGGAUGGUGAUCAUGGUGCUGGGGUGUUGGUUAGAUUGCACCUCCAGGGUAGCAGAGGGUGUUUGCUAAUUAUUGGAGUGGAGAUGGUUACCAAGCCGCCUGUCUCUGAAAAUCUUGCAGAGAUAUUUUCUUUGUACCACAAGGCUAAAAUUAAGCAGUGCGAUGUUUUGUGAUAUAAAAGUAUGGGUUUCUCGGCCAAAGAGUUUCCCAAAACUGUCACUGCCAGACUUUCCCAGGGACCAGCACUCCAGAGGGUUAAAACAGUUUCCCAUCAGCGACUGUCUUUCAAGAGGUCAGCCGUGUGUGUGUGUGUGUGUGUGUAUGUGUGUGUGGUUGUGUGUGUUUGUACACAGAUGUGUGUGUCACAGGAGAAUUUUUUUCUAAACAAGUGAUUUGCAGUUCCUAUUCCCCUUGAGAAACUUGGCUUCCUAGCAAAUUGCAAUAUGAAAAGCUGACUAGAAUUUCUCUAAGAUAAGUUUAGCUCAUUAAAUGAUUAUCUUGUUGUAACUAAAACCCAGACACUGUGUUAAAUAUUGCAGAUUUAUGUAGAGAAAGACAGGAUACCCGCCAUGAACUGAGGGUUUAUGUUCCUUCAUAAUGCCUGUGUUGAAACCCUCAUUUCCAGUGCGAUGGUAUUUGGAGAUGGGGUCUUUUGGCGGUGAUUUUUUUAUGAGGGUGAAGCUCUUAUGAAUGGGGUGAGUGUUCUUUCCUUCUCUCUCUGUGCUCUCUGACAUCAUGUGAGGUCACAGCAGGAAGACGACCGUCUGCAAAUCAAGACUCCAGUCCUCCCUGAUGCCGAAACUGCAGCUGGCACCUUAAUCUUGGACUUCCAGCCCGCAGAACUGUGAGAAAUCAGCAUCUGCUGUUUAAGCCGCCAGUCUGUGAGAUUUUGCUAUGGCUGCUUGAGCAGACUAAGAUAAUACCUGCUAUCAGUUCCGAGUAGGAGGUGCCUUCCCACUCUCAAAAUAUACACUUCAUGUACAUUUAGUGAAAAUUCCUCUAUCUCAAUGUCCAUUGGCACCUGCAGGUCCCCUUAGGAAUGAUUUGAACCAUGCCCCUCAUCCCCCACCCACCCCAGACUCUGCAUCCACACAGACACUUCCAAAUGACAGCAGGGGCUGCGUGCAGAAGCAGGAGGCUGGCUUCUUCCUCUUGUUGUUGAUAUACUUCAGGUAAGAGUUCUUGUCAAUACUUUGGCUAAAAGCUUUGUCAUUUAUCCAAAGAUUUGUGUCAACUAUUCCUUCACACAUUUCUUCCUUUAUUUAUGCAUUGAUUCAACAAAUUCUGAGGGUUCUCUGUGUCCUGAACACACGCUUGAGGUACAGGAUCUAUCUUAAUUGUACUCCCCAUAUACCAUUUGAGAAGACUGAAGUUCAGAGAGGUCAUGAAACUCACCUCAUGCCCAAUAGUCAAUCCUGGAGGAGUCAGGGCUUGAACUCAAGUGAUUCUGAUGCCAAGGUCUAUAUCCCUACCAGAAUAACGACUUCCACAAUAUCUCAACCUGGCAAGCAUAAGUACCUUAUGAUUACCCACCAGACAUUAUUUGCUAUUUUAAAGAACAUUUUAUGAUAGAAUAUUUUAAACAUACAUAUAUUAGAGGAAACAAUUUAGUAAAUUUUCAUGCACUCGUAACCCAUCUUCACCAAUUUCCAAUAUUUUUCUUUCUUCUUUCAUCAAUCUCUAUCAACCUCCACAUUUUUUAAGCUUCAAAACUUUAAAGCAAAUCUCAAUGUGUCACUUUUUGCACAAAUGUUUUAUUAUAUUCCAGACGAUGUUUUUAUAUUUAACCGCAAUUCCAUUAUCACUCUCAAGAAAAUUGGCAACAAUUUCUUAAUAAUAUCAAAUGCCCAGUCUGUGUUCAAUUUUCACUGAUUGUAUCAAAAUAAAUGUCUUUUCCCCAUUGGUUUGUUUAUAUCAAAAUCCCAACGUGGGCCACAUUGCAUUUGUUGAUUUCUUACCUUUCCUAUCAUCUACAACAGCUUCCAUUCCUUAGCUCCACCUUUUUUUUGUUUUGUUUUGUUUGUUUGCUGGGUCUUUGGAAGAAAUGAAGAAACUGAGUCAUGUGUCAUGUGGAAUCUCCCACAUUCUGGAUUUGGCUGUAUCCCCGUGGCUCCCUGUCUAUGACGUGGUUGAAGUGUGAGCCUGAUAUCUAGGCACAUACAGAGGCUCCUCCCCAUGGAGAGCUCUGCUACUCUGCUAGGCAUUCCUGUUCCUUUUCUCUUUCUUUCUUUCUUUUUUUUUUUUUUUGAGACGGAGUUUCGCUGCUGUCACCCAGGCUGGAGUACAAUGGCACGAUCUUGGCUCACUGCAACCUCUGCCUCGCAGGUUCAAGCAAUUCUCCUGCCUCAGCCUCCCGAGUAGCUGGGAUUACAGACAUGUGCCACCAUGCCCCAUGCCAGCUACUUUGGUAUUUUUAGUAGAGACGGUGUUUCUCCCUGUUGGUCAGGCUGUUCUCAAGCUCCUGACCUUGUGAUACGCCUGCCUCGGCCUCCCAAAGUGCUGGGAUUACAGGCGUAAGCCACUGCACCCGGCCAGCAUUCCAGUUUCUAAAAACCAUGACACACAAUGGAUUCCAUCUCUGUUCUAGCCUGGGCAUGCUGUCUUUACCUUGUGAAGAUAAACCCUGUUUCUUAUUGUACUUUCACUGGGGCAGUAGAUACGUAAAUAUCACACAUUUUCAGUCUUUUAAGCCUAAACAAAUAAGUGCAAAUAAAAUCACAGUGUUUUUAUUUUAAAUUCCAGCUUCCAUGGUUGGGCUGGAGGAUGGAGUAGGUGACAGAGCAAUGCAGGAUCUCCCUGGAAUCAGAUGUGAGCCUCUUUUUCUUACGCAGCUUUCCCCUUGGAGAUCUUUUCAUUUCUUAUGCAUUCUGCUCCCACCUCCAUGGUUGGUUUCUAUUUCAGACCUGAAUCCACAUGAGAUCACAUCUUUCUUCUUGACUGUUCUAUCACAACUUACACCUAAUGUGACUACAAUCAAGCUCAAGACAAUUCUCCCCAAACCAGGUCUCACCCUAAAACUCCCCUUGCUUAUCAGUGGCACCAUGUUCAAAAGGCUUACAACCUUGAACUACUGUUUUUUUUCUUUUGUUUCCACAUCCACUCCCUUACCAUUGUUCAAGCCAGCAUUUCUUUGUACAUUCAGGAAAUGCGUGUGCCAUGAAUGAAGCAAAGACCGAUCCAAGAACAGAAGAGGCAUGUAGUCUUGUCUUCCUAUGCCUUCUGAGGAUGCCUUGACCAAGGGAAGCUCAUGGAGAUGAGCAAGAACCAGAAAGUCCUGAGGCUGUUGAUGAACAAUCAAAUCCAAAUGCGUCCCUCCCUUUCAGAAUUGCCGGCUACCUGCUUACUUCAAGACUUAACAUCAAAUGAUCAAAAAUUAUUUUCAGAAACCAAAUUGUUUCCAAGACAUAGGCUUUCUAGCAUUGAAAAGGAUCAGAAGAAUAUACUAAGUCCUAAAAGCAGUUUCAAAAACAGCUCUACAGGAUUUUGGCUGAUUCCUUAGAAUAAGCGGAUGGCUUGCCAAUAGACGAUUGUAAAUAGCUCUACUCUGACCUAGUGGUUUGUGAUUCAAGAUUUGGGGCAUUUAUUACUGAACAAAAAUCAUUGUUUCUCCAAUCCAGAAUAGAAUGUGGUUGAUAUGAAUGUUAGACUGUUCUACAUAGAGAAAUUGUUACCUGGGAAACCACUCGUAUUCAAAGACAACCUGACUUUUGUGCAUGUUUUUUGAAUGUCGAUAUUACACCUUUGAGUGGUUUGACCUCAACUAUUUGUUUUUGUUUUUAAGACAAAGUUGGAUACCUUUAGGUAAAAGUAUACAGUUGUGUAACUAUCACCACAAUCAAGAUAGGGAACAGUUUCAUUGACCAAAGAGUUACCUGUGUGACUUUGCAAUUGAUCCUCUCCUCCAAUCCCUAGCUCCAGGCCAAUGCUGGUCUGCUCUCUGACAUGAUGGUUUUGCUUUUUAUAGAAUUUCAUAAGAAUGAAAUAAUAUGGCAUGUGCCUUUUUUGUGUUUGAAUUCCUUAACUUAGCAUAAUGUCUUUGACAUCCAUCCAUGUUGUGACAUGUGUUACUAUUUUGUUCCUUUCUAUUACUGGGUAGUAUUCCAUUGUGUGGAUACUCCAUGGUAUUUAUGCAUUCACCAAAGCCAAUGAGCAUCUGGGUUGCUUCCAGUAUUUGGCUAUUAAGAAUAAUGCUGCUAUAAACAUGUGUGUACAUGUUUGCAAAGACAUGCUUCUAUUUCUCUUUGAGAAAUAGGAGGAGUGAGUUUGUUGGGUCAUACAGUAAGUAUAUGCUAAACCUUCUAAGAUUCUGACUAGUUUUUAGAGUAGAUGCACCAUUUUUCAUUUCCACCAGCAAUAAAUGAAAGUUCCAUUCACUCUGCGUCUUCACCAACACUUAGUAUUGUCAGCCUUUUUACAUUUAGCCAUUUUAGUGGGCACAACAAUGUUGCAUUUUGGUUUCAUUUGCAUUUUCUGAAAGCUAGUGAUGUUAAGCAUCUUUCCUCUAUGUGCUUGCCAUUCAUAUAUCUUCUUUGGUGAAGUGUCUACAAAUCUUUGAGCACUUUUGACCAUUGAGGUCUCUUUUCUCCUUAUUACUAAGACAUGUGCGUGUGUGUCUGUGUGUGUGUUCAUAUUUCCUUUUAUAUUCUGAAUACAAGCCCUUUGUUGAA